CGUCCCUGCCCGCUGGCCCACCGCCCCCAGCCUCCCUCAGGCCAGCUUCGCCCUGCCUCCUGCUCCUCUGGGUGGUUAGCUGAGUUCAGGACACAUGUCAGCCGGCUUCUGGGUCCCACAGAAACCCACAUCCUCCCUGCGGCGCGAUCUGAGCUGGAAACCGUGACUAUCUGUUAACACAGAGCCAGCAGUUAAAACACCUGAAGGAAGCCCUUUUCUUGACAGUUGUUUCAGGAACCCCACCCUGUUCCAUGCCCUGCCCAGCUCCAGGAUUACGGCCCCGCCUGGGCGGCUCACCUUGGUUGAGUAAGAAGCGUAGCCAGAUGAUCAGCAAGAACAACAGCAAGGCCACGGGCAGACAGAGCCAGAACACCAGGAAAGAAAAUGUCAGCUCGUUCACCAGUGGCACCAGAGGGUACUUCAUGGGUAGGAAUAGAGACGAAGAUGUGAAGGCCAGACUUGUGGAUUCAGCGGGGGCAGUAGAGGGGAGUGAACUGAGAGAGUAGCACUGACAUGUAUACACUACCACGCGUAACAGAAAUGGUGAGUGGAAGCUGCUGUACAGCAGGGAGCUCAGCUCAGUGCUUUGUGAUGACUUAGAGGGUGCGCUGGCGGGAGGUAGGGAGCGAUGCUUGAGAGGGAGGGGAUAUAU
This is a long non-coding RNA of Capra hircus (goat), 652 nucleotides long. RefSeq lists it as uncharacterized. Lineage: Eukaryota; Metazoa; Chordata; Mammalia; Artiodactyla; Bovidae. The transcript is spliced from 3 exons. The record is from RefSeq and is a predicted model, not a curated record.